AUACGGAGGGUGCAAGCGUUACUCGGAAUCACUGGGCGUAAAGCGCGCGCAGGCGGCUAUUUAAGUUGGAUGUGAAAGCCUACGGCUCAACCGUAGAACUGCAUCCAAAACUACUAGACUUGAGUGUGGGAGAGGAAGAUGGAAUUAGUUGUGUAGGGGUAAAAUCCGUAGAGAUAACUAGGAAUACCAAAAGCGAAGGCAAUCUUCUGGAACACUACUGACGCUGAGGCGCGAAAGCGUGGGGAGCAAACAGGAUUAGAAACCCUAGUAGUCC
This 274-nucleotide ribosomal RNA is filed under the name uncultured bacterium. RNAcentral describes it as "partial 16S ribosomal RNA". It matches the Rfam family "Bacterial small subunit ribosomal RNA", at positions 523 to 796 of the family's 1533-position model. The record is from RNAcentral.